This is a long non-coding RNA of Numida meleagris (helmeted guineafowl), 260 nucleotides long. RefSeq lists it as uncharacterized. The transcript has 2 exons. The record is from RefSeq and is a predicted model, not a curated record. NCBI's taxonomy places the organism in Eukaryota, Metazoa, Chordata, Aves, Galliformes, Numididae.
CGGCACAGCCUGAGCGGCCGCAGGGUCCUGAGCAACGGGGCUGGCGGUGCUGAGGGCGAGCCGGCAACAUCAAUGCUUACACACACAGAGUCCGCAUUUAUUGUUUCUCCUGGAGCAGCACUCCCAGACACCAGCCCUGGACCCCUGCCCUACUCUGCCAUACCCGGCCCGCUACAGAUCAUCAUAUUUUACAGACUGCCUCUCUGUGUCACUUAACAUACAGAAAAUCUUUAAAAACCCGUAAAAGUUGAUAAAUCCUA